This 252-nucleotide ribosomal RNA is filed under the name uncultured bacterium. RNAcentral describes it as "partial 16S ribosomal RNA". It matches the Rfam family "Bacterial small subunit ribosomal RNA", at positions 42 to 305 of the family's 1533-position model. The record is from RNAcentral.
GCGUGCUUAACACAUGCAAGUCGAACGAGCCUUCGGGCUAGUGGCGCACGGGUGAGUAACGCGUAAGUAAUCUACCCUGGUAUCUGGGAUAACCCACCGAAAGGUGUGCUAAUACCGGAUACGCUGAUUUAUCAGGAAAGGUGGCCUCUUCAUGAAAGCUACUGUACCAGGAGGAGCUUGCGUACCAUUAGCUAGUUGGUAGGGUAAUGGCCUACCAAGGCGACGAUGGUUAGCGGGUCUGAGAGGAUGAUC